GCAGCGCGCUGUUAGACACAUCUUUCUUUCUUUUCGAAAUCGAUCUACCGACUGCAGAACAAUGGCGUGGAGUUUCCCUCGGUCAUCGUGCUAUCUGCUACUAAUUAAUGAGAUUCUUUAUUUGACAUUCCAAAUCCAGGGUGUGUCACGGCCAAAUGCACAGAUCUGUGGGCAGUUUUGCUGAUCUCCUACGCCUUCAGAUCCGAAGGUCUAUCCAGGUGAAUAAAUAACUAAUUUCGCAUUUGGAUUAGAUUAGAUGUCUAAUGCUCACCCUCUCGGACAUGUAUAUGUCAUUCAUGGGACCUGUGAUUUCUUAAAUGGUUGCAUUUGUUCUAUUAUUGUAUUUUUUGAUCGGAGUUGGAACUCCACAAGAUAAUUUUUACUCUUUACUAUUUAUCAUAGAUAAUUAUCGUACAGAAAAUAUCUGACAUAGCUUACUGUUCUGAAGGGAAAAAAAUAAAUUGAUUUGUGUUGUUCUUUUUCCGAGCAUUGCUUCAUAUACCAGAUCGUCCCAUCAAGUUGAACCGGCAAAACAGCAGGAGCAAGUCGAUCAUGCUCCUUGUUCUAUAGCACAUUGGAAGAGGUGUUGGGCACCAACAAACACAUCAUUCUUGUAGUACAAGAUGUAGUUAGGCAAGAAGGUAAUGAUUUAUGACCUGUAGAGAGGAAAUAAGGUGAUGAUUUAUGACCUGCUGCUUUUUAAUGCAUGCUUAUGCACUAAUUCAAGUUUAUCUAGUCCUUGAUUUUUCUUAAAAAAAUAUUUCAUUGGUGCAGUUAAUAAUAUCUCAUUUUCGAAUAACAAGUAUUUUUUGGCGAAUCUUAAAGACUAUGUGGCACAAAAGGCAAACCUACAAGAAGUAAACCGAACGAACCUGGUAUUAAUUGUAUGACUUAUGAUCGAUAGAUUGAAUAUUACUGCACACAGAAUCCCUUGUUUCUGCUUCAUGGUGCUUCCGGUACAUGUUUCUCUUAUUACCAGCAAAGAGAUGUAUAUAGUUUUUGUAGCUAUCCUGCAGCUAAUGGAAAAAAGACAGGUCGGUCAACAUUUUCGUUUAUAUUUGUGUCCCAUUUUCGUUUAUGUUAGUAUGUCAAGCUUUUCCUACUAUGGUAAAAUCUUCCUAUUUGUUUAGCAGUAGCAUUUGUACUUAGUAGUAGAUUUUAUACAUGAUGUGUAGUUAGCUAGUUCAACUAGUCUCUAGCUGAUGGAAAGCAGGUUCAGUCAACCAUAGAUUUUAUACUAUGUAAUGUUGAAAUAUACUGUAGUCCAUAUUCUACUAUUUUAGUGUAUUUAACAUUCUACUAUUUUAGUGUGUUAGUGGUACACUUUGCUGCAGAAUGAAGAAGAAUGAGGAAGAACACAGCGCACCAAGAUUAUAAGUUCAAAGACAAUUGAAUAGUGAGAUCCUAUGGUUGAUGUUGUGCUCGCGCCAAGAAGCUUUUUUCAACGGAAGACUAGAAAUAGCAACAUAUGUAGUGUUUAUCGAUGGAAUGAAGAAUGUAAUAUAUUUGUGAGAGUGCCUUCCAAAUAAUUUAAACGUAAUGCAUGAUACAUUAGUGAUGUCACACUUUAUUUUCUCUGUUA
This is a long non-coding RNA of Lolium rigidum, 1582 nucleotides long. RefSeq lists it as uncharacterized. The record is from RefSeq and is a predicted model, not a curated record. The transcript is spliced from 2 exons. Lineage: Eukaryota; Viridiplantae; Streptophyta; Magnoliopsida; Poales; Poaceae.